CGAGCUUCUUGCGGCUGCUCUUGACAAUUCCCUAAAUGCUGCGAUUGGCAAGAUGUGCGAUCGAGCGUAUCAAACAACAAGGACAGGGGCUCCUUCAAGCUUGAUUCAUCCCCACAAAGUAACACGCCCUGCACUGCACGGUCCCCCUUACCUUUGAAUAUUGCCUCAACGUAUGUUCCUAGAAUCGUGGAAUCCAGGGAGCCGCUGCUUUGAACCGGACUCACGUUAAAUAUACCUUCCUAGCUUGUAGAAGAGCAGCUUCUUUGCAGCACCGUCCGUACCAUCUGCGUCCCGCACUUGGCAUGCGGGUUUUACGCAUUGCAACUGCAAUUUCUGGCCUGUGUCAGCUCUCUUGAGGCG
This 360-nucleotide long non-coding RNA is filed under the name Volvox carteri. RNAcentral's name for it is "long non-coding RNA (VCAR_LNC001725)". The record is from RNAcentral. Lineage: Eukaryota; Viridiplantae; Chlorophyta; Chlorophyceae; Chlamydomonadales; Volvocaceae.